UGAGGAACAUGACCUUCGGCGGGGGAGUAGCCGGCCCAACGGCCGGGUAAUACCGCGUACGACCACAUGGGGACAUCCCUGAGUGGUGAAAGCAGCAAUGCGCCGAUGGAGUGCCUCGCGGCCUAUCAGCUAGUUGGUGAGGUAACGCUCACCAAGGCGACGACGGGUANCUGGUCUGAGAGGAUGGCCAGCCACAUUGGGACUGAGACACGGUCCAGACCUCGUACGGGGAG
RNAcentral lists this ribosomal RNA (233 nucleotides) under uncultured bacterium. Its description in RNAcentral is "partial 16S ribosomal RNA". It matches the Rfam family "Bacterial small subunit ribosomal RNA", at positions 118 to 347 of the family's 1533-position model. The record is from RNAcentral.